GGUUGUGUAUCCCAGUGGCAGAGCACUUGCCUAUCAUGUGGCAAGGCUCUGGGUUUGAAUCCCAGCACCACCA
Molecule: transfer RNA, 73 nt
Filed under: Ictidomys tridecemlineatus (thirteen-lined ground squirrel)
Lineage: Eukaryota; Metazoa; Chordata; Mammalia; Rodentia; Sciuridae
Description: Spermophilus tridecemlineatus (thirteen-lined ground squirrel) tRNA
Rfam family: tRNA
About the family: Transfer RNA (tRNA) molecules are approximately 80 nucleotides in length. Their secondary structure includes four short double-helical elements and three loops (D, anti-codon, and T loops).
Source: Rfam by way of RNAcentral